RNAcentral lists this ribosomal RNA (254 nucleotides) under uncultured bacterium. RNAcentral's name for it is "partial 16S ribosomal RNA". It matches the Rfam family "Bacterial small subunit ribosomal RNA", at positions 524 to 776 of the family's 1533-position model. The record is from RNAcentral.
UACGUAGGGGGGCAAGCGUUGUCCGGAAUCAUUGGGCGUAAAGAGCGCGUAGGCGGCCCUGUAAGUCCGCUGUGAAAGUCAAGGGCUCAACCCUUGAAUGCCGGUGGAUACUGCAGGGCUAGAGUCCGGAAGAGGCGAGUGGAAUUCCUGGUGUAGCGGUGAAAUGCGCAGAUAUCAGGAGGAACACCGAUGGCGAAGGCAGCUCGCUGGGACGGUACUGACGCUGAGGUGCGAAAGCGUGGGGAGCAAACAGG